This 497-nucleotide ribosomal RNA is filed under the name uncultured bacterium. RNAcentral describes it as "partial 16S ribosomal RNA". It matches the Rfam family "Bacterial small subunit ribosomal RNA", at positions 28 to 507 of the family's 1533-position model. The record is from RNAcentral.
GAUGAACGCUGGCGGCGUGCCUAAUACAUGCAAGUCGAGCGAACGGACGAGAAGCUUGCUUUUCUGAUGUUAGCGGCGGACGGGUGAGUAACACGUGGAUAACCUACCUAUAAGACUGGGAUAACUUCGGGAAACCGGAGCUAAUACCGGAUAAUAUUUUGAACCGCAUGGUUCAAAAGUGAAAGACGGUCUUGCUGUCACUUAUAGAUGGAUCCGCGCUGCAUUAGCUAGUUGGUAAGGUAACGGCUUACCAAGGCAACGAUGCAUAGCCGACCUGAGAGGGUGAUCGGCCACACUGGAACUGAGACACGGUCCAGACUACUACGGGAGGCAGCAGUAGGGAAUCUUCCGCAAUGGGCGAAAGCCUGACGGAGCAACGCCGCGUGAGUGAUGAAGGUCUUCGGAUCGUAAAACUCUGUUAUUAGGGAAGAACAUAUGUGUAAGUAACUGUGAACAUCUUGACGGUACCUAAUCAGAAAGCCACGGCUAACUACGUG